GUAACUUAUCAGUUAAUAAUAAAUUGGAAUUGUUGGUUGAAUUGUUACUUGUAUGUAAUGAAACAUACUUCAGUUGAAAUUUGAUCUUUCUGUUAUUCAACCAACUGUUCUUGUUUUUUAUGGCAGUGAAUCCAAGUCCUUAGUAUUAUCAUUGCCAUGUUCGUUGAUAUGUUAAUUAGGGUUUUAUUGAAACAUUUUGAUUUGCCAUUUAGAAUUGCUUUCACAAUGUGUAUAUUUUGAAAUCUUCAUGUGCCAAUGUUAUUUGAGAUGAUUUUUUUGUUUUGCCAAUUAGUUUAGAUCAUUCCAUGGAUGUCUCUAACAAUGGUGUGUUUGUGUUGUGUUAUUAUCCGUGCUUUCUGUGUUUUGUGUCUUUGUAAUAUUUGUGUUUUUGUCCUUUUUUAAUAUAUUUGAUAAUAAUAAUAAUAUUUAAUGAUCUUUUAGUUUGUACUCACCGAGAGUUGGAAUACAUAUUAUAUAUGUAAGAAAGCAUACAUGCAUACCAAGUGGUCUCUUUAGUUCAAUUCAUGCUGUGGCUACUGCCUCAUACUUAUAAAUUUGACAUAUGAUGAUCCCAUACCUAUAUCUAUUGUAUUUUCACCUACUCUUACACGACUUCCACUUUUUCCUUCCUACUAUAAGGGUCACAUAAAAUUUCACUUAAUAUAUUCUAUGUUUGUUACUCUAGAUUCAGCCUCAUUUUGUUUAAUGUUGUUCACUUAUUAUUGUUAAUGAGAACUGUUUGAAAUUGAUGAUGAUGUUAUGUUGCUGUUCACACAGGGUUGGAAGGCAGGUGGUCAACAUCCCAUCAUUCAUGGUCAGAGUUGAUUCACAGAAGCACAUUGACUUCUCACUCACAAGUCCUCUUGGUGGUGGUCGUCCUGGUCGUGUGAAGCGAAGGAACCUCAAGGCUGCCGCUAAGAAGGCCGCUGGUGGUGAUGGAGAUGAGGAGGAUGAAGAUUAGAUUAUGAAUUUCUUUUGUUUAAAUCCUUGCACCAGCCUUUUUAUCCUUAGUAUAUUUUUUUUUUGUCUAUCAUGCAUGACUCUUGUAAUUUUUCGAUCCUUGUUUCUUGUGUGAGGAAAUCUUUGCUUGAGAGAUGUUGUUUUUUAACUUUCCUUUUCUCGAAUAUGAAGUUUUGCUCCAUUUCCUGUGAUAAUCUCUGGGAUUAGGCUUAAUGGUAUUUCUCAUAAUGUUUCAUAGCAGUUUGAAUGAAUCGAUAUAUUGUUUUUUGAUCUUUUGAUUGCAGACUUAAGUAAACCAUGUCGUUGAUUCAACUAUAUUUCGUAUGGUCUAUAAAAAAACUAUACUGUAGGUCACCGGUCCUGGCUUUAUGGUAACAUAUUCCUUGUGAACUUGAUUUGAAGAGUUUUUAUAAUUUUAUACAAUUUACCUUAAUGAUCUAUUGUUGGUGAUUUGUAGUCUAAUUCCUAAACAUUUAACACAAUGAAACUGUGGUUCAGGUGCAAGGCCUUGUUGAAUACACUUCCAAAUGUAGAUGAAUUUGUAAUGAUGGUAAUUCUGAAUUUGUGUUGCAAUUUUGUUGAUUCUUGCUCCAGUUGUGCAUGGUCUAUGUUCUGAUUCUGGCGGAUGGGUUGGCAGGUAAUUGAAUGCUGUACAAAUUUGCGCAAUAAAUUAAAAUACACGAUGGUUGGUAGAUAAUUGACUGUUCUAAGCAUCUGUUAAUUAUUAUUAUUAUUUUUCCAUCUGUUAAUUAAAAUCAUUUGAAACACUAGUGAUAAUCGUUCUCUCCUACUGCUAUGGUUCUCUUCAUCGGCAGCAGAUUUCACCAUAUCAAUGUAAUGCAACUAAGUUCUCUAUUUUCAAUAUGAAAUUUGUCGUUUAUACUACAAAUAUUAUUUCCAAAACAAUUUAGUCGUGUGUUCCACCACUCUCAAUUUGUAACUAUACAUACUAUUUAGUACAAACUCAUUGUUUUAAAAUGUGUUAAUUCGUUGGACUUCCAGCAUACACUUUUUGUAACAACUUUGUUAUGUAAUUUUCUGCAGUUUCAUUUCCGCCCCCGACUAAUCAAGAAAAAUCAUACUCGUUUUUUGUUUGAGUUGAAAUUUAGAUCGCCACUAUGGGUAGGUUUUGCAGUAUUAUUUCUGCCUCUGACUAAUCGAAAAAAGUCGCACCUAUUUUUUUGUUGGAGUUGAAAUUAUCUUUCUAUUCGCAGCAAUUUGUUUUCCUUGUCCCAACCCUAUUUUCAUUGAGAAAAUUAGCCAUUGAGAAAUAUAUAUAUACAAUGAGAACUAGCAUGCCUUAUAAAUAAUAUAUAUAUGUAUAAUAUUUGUCAUUGAGAAAUUAGUCAAAGUAGAGAUAAGAAAGAAAAAAAACAGCCAAAUAAUUAAUUGCAUUUAGCCUACCAAAUGUAGUGAAAUCCUAAUAAUAAUUCAAACAAUAGCAAAAUGUUAAUCACUCAACCUAAUCAUUCUUCAUCCCCACCAAUGAUUAUGGAAGAUUUUGGGGUUCAAAAGAAAUUCGCAAGGAUUAUAUGAUUAGAAAAGUUUAAGCAAUAAAAUCAUAAAUUAAAUAACUGAUUUUUAUAUAAAGAUUCAUUAGACAAUGAUUUUCUUCUAAAAUUUGAUGUAAUUCUUUGAAACACAUUUUUUAAGAUAAUCUUACUGAUAUUAGGGGUGUUCAAAAAAAUCAAAAAUUGAACCAAACUGUCAAACCGAACCGAACUGGUUUUGAACUGAACUGGUUUAAGAACCGAAUUGUUUUCGAACUGAUUUUGUAAAACUAAAACUGAACUGAAUUGGUUUUUCAAUUCAAAAAACCGAACUGAACCGGUUUUUAUUUCAAAAAAUUUGAACCGAAUUUUUUUUAGAAGUAAUUAGGGAUAAUUAUAUAAAUUUUGGCCUAUAUGAACAAAAAAAUUAAGUUAAAUCGGUUCGGUUCAAAAUAAUAAACCGGUGCACCACUUUUAUAAAUCGGUUCAGUUCGGUUCUUUGAACUGAAAACUGGUUCAGUUCAGUUUUUCCAAAUUGAAAACCAAUUUGAUUCAAUUUUCAAACGGUUCUAGUUCAGAACUGAACUUUGUCCACCCCUAAUUGAUAUAAUAUGAAAUAAAAUAUAAUCAUUUUAUUUAAAUAUCAGUGGUUGAUUUGAAUAGCGUAAAACUAUAUCUAAAAAAAUCAAAAAAAAAAUUUGAUUUUAAUUAAAUUGUUAAAUCUAUUAAACUAUUAAUUUAUUUUUUACAUCUUAGGAAACUCACAAUUAAAAUUUAGGUUAAAGAUAUGAGGAAUUGAUUAAUUUUUCUCAUGAUUUAUAUUUUUUUAAAAGCUCCGCCACAACACAUAUUCAUUCAACAAAUUUGCAUAACAUUAAUUUUGCUGAAUGAUAAAUCCGUCAAAAAUAUGUUGAAUACUAAAAAGGCACCUCUUACUAGACCAAAAAAUAAAACCACCUCUUACUACUAGUCUCGAAAAAAAAAAGGCACCCCAUCAAAACUAGGUUAGUCAAAUUACAAAUCAUUUUAUAAAAUUUUGUUUGGGGUCAGACACCAAAAGAUUUAUAUGAUUUGAUCGUACCAAGUCAUGUAAUCUAAAAAUUUCAUGGUCUUCCAUGGUUAGAUAGAUCAAAAACAUUAAUGAAAGAGAGGUGUUGAAUCAUAGUCACAGUUUUCAUAUUUGAUUUUGUUGAGAAUUGCAUUCAAAUUGCAUUUGUGUUGCAGUCGUAGCGAAACAACUCCACAUGGUCAUUUACAGAAAAAGACUCAGUCUUAUGAACACAAUAAAAAUAAGAGAACAUUAAUGACAAUUAAAACUAAGAAUGCAUCAAUGAAUUUUAUAGGAUCUGAAUUUCUCCCAAAAGUAUAGGAUGGAAUAACCCCAUAUUUCAAAAUUCAUCUCUUUAAAAAUUCAUGAUUGAUAAAUUUAUCUAGAAAUAAAAAAGAAACACCUCAACAUCCCAUCACAACACAGUUAUACACAAAGCAACCUAAUUGAAUUAUAACAAGAGAGUUUCAUUGUGAUGUGCCUUCAUCUACGACCCAAGCAUUAACUUUUGUCACUGUUUCACCAUGAAUACUAGGACUGCCUAUGACUACUAGCUUAUCUCCGCAUGCUCGAAACGCUACUCCCCAUCCAUUUACUGAGGUUACUCGCUCAAGAAGUCUUCCAAUAGUAACCCAUGAAUUUAUGUUUUUAACAUACCUUUUUACUUCUUGACUUGCAUAAUCAGCAACAUACAAUACAUUGUUUACAACUGCAACCAGAGGAGGUGCCUCACCAUUUGUUGGUGUCUCAAUCACACCAUCUCCUCCAUGUCGCGAAGGGCACAUGUUAGGUAUUUUCCGCCAUUUUCUUGUCUUCAAAUCAAACUCCUCACCACAUGUUAGUUGUGUUGUUUUGUCAACUCCAACCCCACCAAGAACAUAAAAUUUGUCAUCCAUAAAUACACUAGACCAUAUUUUCCUGGCUGUAUUAAGGUCUGGAAGAAUCUCCCAUGUUCCAAUAUCUGAGUUAUAAAGCUCAGCAGAGCUCAAAAUGUUGCCAUAUUGAUCACAACCACCACCUAAUAUUGCAAUUUCUUUGAGGCUAGCAGAACCAAAUAAUCACCUAGGAGUAUUCAUUUUCAUUCCAUUCAACCAUGAAUUUGUCAGAAUGCUAUAUUUAUAAAUGGCAGGACCCAUUAUUUCCCUUCCAAACACAAGAAGCUUUGUACCAACGCCCAGUGACUCCUUGUCAGAAAGCAUAAAGCAUUCAUUGGAAUUCAAUUUUGGCAAAUGCAUCAACCGACCAUUAUUAGGGUCAAAGGCCUCCCAUUUAAAGACAUCACAAGAAAAGUAAACUCAUUGUUCUAUUAUGCCCAUUGUUUUCCUAAUAUGACACAAUUCUCCAGAUCAGAUGAGUGAUUGAAAACUUCGAUUCAAUGCAGCAAUUGAUAAAUAAUCAGACCUGGAUAAACGAACCAAACAUUGGAUUGAAGUAUCACGAUCAAGCUGAUGAAUAAGAAGAUUCGAGUCACCUGUAUGAUUUUGGUCAUUCUUGUUAUUUUUCCCUUCUCUUUUCAUGGGAUCAUUUGGAACUUCACUUGAAUUUUUUGACAUAUUUUCUUCUAUUUCCAGUAGAAUCGUAUGAUUUUGAAAAUUUACUAAAAAACCAAAAUCAAGAAAAAUAAUUGGACAAUUUCCAUCAAUUAAAUAUUUUUAAUGAAUAUAUGAAUUAAAAUACAUCUAGAACCACGUACUAAAUCUUUUGGGAUAUAACAUAUUUACCCGUAAAUCAUAUAAAUUGAUUUGUGCAUCCAACCACUUAUACUAAUUCAUCAAGAACAAGAGUAAAAAUUGAAAUAGCAAUCACAAACAAGAUAUAUUAUCAUUAAAAUGCAUAUGUUCCUAAUUAGAUGGUUAAUUGUGACCUAGAAUAAGAGUUCAAAUAGAAAAAUUGGGAAUUUUACCGCAUAAACAAAAUUCAAUAAAACAAUGAUGACAUGCAUACUCAAAUUCAAGGAUCAAAACAUCUACAAUGUUAUCAUCUUGGGAAAAUUUUAAAAUAGAGAAAUAGUAUAUAAAAAAAAUUACAAACAGAUAAAUCGCAGAAACAACUUACAAAUUCAGAAUAAAUAAUUACGAUAUUAAAUCGAGUAUUUUUCAAUUUGGUGCACUUAUGGUUCUCUCUUACUCACACCUACAACUACUCUAUUAUCUGCGAGUGAAGAUUCUAUGACACUAAUUUUAGGUGUUAUGCUAAUUGUGUGAAGGCUUGUGGUGUCUGCGUCAAUAGUAUUGUUUAUUUGUAGCAACAAUAAUAAUAAUAAUAAUAAUAAUAAUAAUAAUAAUAAUAAUAAUAAUAAUAAUAAUAAUAAUAAUAAUAAUAAUAAUAAUAAUAAUAAUAAUAAUAAUAAUAAACAAUCAAAUAUAAUUAUUAUUAUUAUUGAAAAAAAAAGACAUUUGAGUCUUCUGUAGCUAUUAUUUAACUCACUCUUUGGGAUUGUAAUCCUGAAUGCACUCCAACAACCAAUGAGAUUACUUACAAAUGUGAAUUUGUUAUACUUCUAAAUUGUUCUUUUCUUUUUUUAACUUUUUUUUUCUCUCUCUCUUUCUUUCUUUCCACAAUAACUCCAACUUUAAAAACUUAUUUAAUAUUAUGUGUCUUUCUCUUUUCUUCUAUAUUGUUUAAAAAAAUGUGGUCUUAUUUGGGACCUAAAAAAACUGUGAGAUCUAAUUUAACUUAUUUUUAGUUUAGAAAAAAAUACCAAGACAAGUUAAUCUGUACUUCAACAAUCUUCCCAAAAGGUGAAGUAAAUCUUUAACAAGAACGUUUAUCUAAAAAAAUAAAAAACUUUAACAAGAAUUAUAAAUGGACAAUUUGGUCCGCGACAAUAAAUAAAAAUAAUAAUUGGUUUUUAUAAUAAAAGGUCUCAAAAAAAUGUCUUGUUAAAUAAAUCUUCUAAUUUUUUAUUUGUCUUCUUUAGCCUUCAAAUCACUACUAUCUAUUGUAGCUAUGAACCAGAUAACACAUAUUUAAUAUUUUUGGUGCAUUGUUGUUUGUUGUUACAAUUUAUUUUUGGAAAUGUUACAAAACUUUUUGAGGAUGGUCGAGUAUUGUAGAUUUUUUAAAAAUGUUCAACGUUAAAAUAUUUUUUUAAGAGAAAUGUUAAACUUAAUAUCUUGGAUAUUUUUUGUUUGUGGGUAUUUUGUAAUGGUUGAUCUUUAAAAAAAAAUAGAUAUACUUUUUUUAGAAUUAUUAAAUAUUGUUAACAUUUAAUUGAAUAAUAAUGAAAGAAAAAUAAUAAAAAUCUUGAAAAUAAGUUUUCUGAUAAAUACAUUUGUAUCAGAAAACUUAAAAAAUAAAUUUCAGAGUGUAAAUUAAGGGCCAAAAAAUUUGAAAAAGGUUUUUCAGUAAAAUAAAAAGAAUUGGUACUCACUUGUAUAUUAAAAAACUGAAAUGAUAUGAUGGUAAAAAAUAAUUUUUUUUAAUAUUUAUACUAUAAUAAAUAUGUCAUUUCAUCGCAUUUGUUGAGGUAGAUGUUAAAAUUUCUCUCUUUUAAAUUGCUCAAAAAUUGGAGUUAAGUUGUUAGUGUACUAUGAUAUAAGAUCUAAAAUUACUUGUAUAGUAAAUAAAAAAUUGAUAUGCACAUCCAAUUUAUGAUUUAAGCUCAUCAAGAACAAAAAUGAAAAUGAAAAUAUCAAUCGAGAUAUAGUGCCGUUAAUAUAGAUAUUUUCCAAAUCAGAUGCUUAGAUUCACAUUUGACCUAGAAUUGGAACUCAUAUAAAAAAAUUAGAAAGUUUAAUGAAUAAACAAAUUCAAUCAAAUAAUGACGAGAAACAUUUUCAUUUUUAGACUAUUUUUCUAUUUUAUUUUAUAUACCUUAAAUUUUUAAGAAAAAAGUUAUAAAGAGAAAUAGUAAAUAAAAAAUACAAAGAGAGAAGUAUGUGAAAAACUUACAUAUUUAGUCUAAAUAAUUAAGAUAUUGAAUCAAUUGUGUUUCAAUUUAGGACGACUUUAGUUCUCUCUCGCUCUCUACCUACAACUUUAUCAUUAUCUACGAGUAAAAAUUUUAUGUCAUUAAUGUUGGAUGUUGUAUUUUCUGUGAGAUAGUUUGUGUUGUCUGUGUCAAUAGUGUCGUUUAUUUAUAAUAAAAAAUAAUAAAUAAUCAAACAAAUAUAUUAUUAUUAAAAUAGGUCUCUAAGCUUUCUGCUGCUAUUAUGCAACUUGUUAUCUGGGAUUACAAUCCUAAGCAUACUACAUACAUGUGUUGUGAACUUGUUACACUGCUUAAUAGUUCAUCUUUUUUUCAAUUUAUUUUUUGUUUUGUUUCUUUUUCUUCUUUUUUUUUUUAUCAAUUUUUUGUUUUUGCUAUUUAUGUCAGUUUAUGUAUUGAUAGUAUAAACCAAAUUUCUAUUAUCAGUUAAUAAGAAUUAAUGAUAUUUUUUUCACCACAUAAUUGUAAUUUUCAUCCGUUAAUUUUAUAAUCAAUGACUCAUAGUAACUGUUAAUGUACAACCAUUUACACAUAUAAUAAAAUCCCCAUUAAAUCUUUAAUUCAAAUUAUGAAAUAAUUAAAUGUAAAAAUUACUAAUGUUUUUUUUCACUCAAAAUUACUAAUGACCUAGAAAAUUAAAAUAUAUUAUUUAUUAUUUUUUUAAAAUUUUAAUUGAAAAACUCAGUUUAUUAUGAUAGUUUAAUUUAUUUUUAUUUAACAAAAUACUGAAAUCCUUUAAAUGUAAAGUUUGACUACAAAAGUGAUCAGAGUUUUUUAAAAAAGCUAUUAAAUGAUGGAAGACAAAAGUAAUAUUAACGAACAUACAAAAUAUCAAUGUAUUAUGGGAAAGUGCAUUUAUUAUUUGACUUUUAUUUUUUUGAGAAAUAUUUUUUCUAUUGAUUUUGGAAAACUUUCGUAAAAAAAGCAAAACAGAACAUUUUUGGAAAACUUAUUCCAAAAACCGUAUUUGGAAAACUUUCUGUUACUUUAAUCGAAUAAUAAUAUUUUUUAUUUUUUAUUUUUUUUAAUAUUUCCCGUCUAUUACAAUGCAUAUUUAUUUAUUUUUCAUAUUUUAAAUGAAAAAACAAUUAUAUUUUCUAAAGCCAUAAAUAAAUUAAAUAAAUUGUGGCGACAUUGUAUCCGAAGUCAUUUAUCUUAUUUUAUGUAAUGCCUCUAUAUUUAUUUUUUCGGUUUAAUAUUUUAUUUUAUUAAAUUUGUACAAGUUAAUCUUUUUAUUUUAUUUUAUGAUAACACUGUUAUUAAUAAUUUUAUUUUUAAAAAUAGUUUCGAAGUUUGAGAAAUUUUGAAAAAGAUACGAACAUCUUCACCAUAUUCAUAAAAAUUAUAUAAUAAAAUAUAUCAAAGUUUGUGUAGUUCAAUAUUUUUUCUUUUAAAACUAUAGGGUCAAAAUUUUUAAAUUUAUAGAUUGUUGAAUAUUUAUAAUUGAAUACGUAUAAAAAAUAAUGAAUUUUUUUUAGUCUAUAAUUGAAAUAAUAAAUAUUACAAAAAAUUCAUAUAAAUAAUUAUAAAAUUGUAAAUUUAUAUUUAGGACACGAUGUUGAAGUUAUUGAUAUAAUAAAUCUUUUUAUCCUUAUAUUAAAAGGAUCUUUAAGGUAAGUCCAAGCACCACAUGUGCUGGAAACAAAACAUAAAUACAAAGAGUAGAAAAAAAAAAAAAAACCACAGUCUACAGAGUAAAAAAUUAAUGCAUAUGACCAGAUUAUCAGUCACCCUUGCUCAUAUUAGAUUGGAUCAAAAGCCCCUUUUAUCUUAACUGUAGUUAUAAAUUAUUAUAAGUUAAAGGGCCUAAUUUCUUAUUUAUUUUAAUUGAGAAAAAUUGUUAAAAAAAUUUCAAAUAUUCCCGGGACCUAAUAAAUAAAUCUAAAAUAAACUUGCAAGUAGUAAGUAGUAUAAGCAUACAUAAUUAUUUAGAUUAAUACUAGUUUUAAUUUCUUUAUUUUUUACAAUUCACAAGAUCAACUCUCCUAUUAUAAUUUUUUUAUUUUAAAUAACGAUGUGACAUGCUUUAUAUUAUGGGACAUAUGUUAUGAUGAUAUAUAAUUAUUAAUAACUAUGAAAUUGCAAAAAAAUCUUUAAUAUUUUAACUUUCAAUUUCAAUAAUUUUUCAUUUUUGUAAUUUAAUUAAUGACAUAUGAAUAAUUAAUACACGAUUCUAUAUCAUAAAAUUAUAUGACGCAUCAUUUAAAAUACAUUAAAUCGUCUUUUUUUAGUUUAAAGUAUGAGGAAGGAACUAAAAUUGUUGACUUUUACAAUAGGAAACCAAUUAUAUGAAUUGAUGAAAAUAAAGAGAUCAAAAUUGUAAUUAUGUUUAGUUGUUUUUUAUUUUUUACUCAAUAGACCUACAUGGCUACAUAGUCGAGGCAGUUGAUUAAACAAAAAGUUUGGGCAUCAAAUUUUUUAAUUAGAUGUUUAUAUCCACAGAUCUAGGGUGUGUACGAGUUGAGUUGGAUUAGUUUUGAUCGAAUUUAAUAGGAACCAAUCAAUUUUACUUGAAUUAGGUGAGUUAUUAACUUGUGAGUUUUACAUCAAACUUGAACCAAAACACUUUAAUUAAGAGCGGAUGGGUUGGAUUAACUUCGCGAUCAUAAAAAAAAAUUUAUUUUAAAAAAUAUAAUUAAAUUUAAAUAAUUGAAUAUCAUAGAGAUCAUAAAAUUCUAUUAGAAUAUUUUAUUUAAUACUUAAAAUACAUGAACAAACAUAACAAAAUACUUAAAUUAAUUAAAUUAACAACAAAUCCUUAAAUAAAAUUCAAUAACUAAAUUAUAAUUAUAUGUCAAUAAUAGUAAAAAUAAAUAAAAAUGUAUAUGUCAUGUCAAUUAGUUGAAUUUGCAGGUAUCCGAAAUCAAAAUAUCAAAUUCGUUUUCCGAACCGAACAUCAUUGAAUUUAAACAAGUUGAUUCAUAAUAGAACUAAAUUUGAACUCAUUGAGUCAAAAUAUACAUUGAAUUAAUUUGAUUGAACGAAUUUGCAGAUUUAUCGGUACUCAAGAACAUCCCUACACACAUUUGAUAUUUCAAACACACCAUUCAGUCUAUUAUAAGAGUAUACUACAUUCAUCCUAUAUGUAAUAUGUGGUUAAUUAUUGCACAAAAGUUAUAAAAAAAAAUUCACAUUAACUUUGUCAAUAAUAUUAUUAUUCUUUAAAAACUAUCCUUCAAUUAUUAAGAAUGAAAAACAUUUAAUCUUUUAACUAUUUAUAUUAAUCAAGGAUAGUGUUAUAAAAGAAAAAUAACUAACACUUUAAUCAAGGGUAUUUUUACAAGAGGGUCUUUCUUACAUAUAAGAACUAAUAUCGUGAAUAAAAAAAUUUAUAAUUUAAAUGACAAAUAUCAAUAUUAUUAAAUUAAAAAUUUUUCUUAGAUUAAAAUUCAGAACUUAACUUCAAGAUUUUUCCAACCUUAAACUAAGUCACAUUAAAUUUUAUUUAUAAAAAGAAAAAUUGUAAAAAGGAUUAAUAGUAACCCGUUGAUAAGUGGGCCUUUAAAAAACCCCGGAAGUAAAAAAAAAAAAGAGAAAAGCCCGGUUACAAAAAAUCAGAUAAUAAUAAGAGAAACAUAACCUUCUAACUCUAACUUUCAGCAAAACCCUAGGGCGGCGGCAACAAGAGCAACCGGCGGCAGCGGAAGGGAAGAACAUGGUGCACGUUUCCUUUUACCGAAACUGUGAGUAUCUCUCUAUCUCUUCUGUUACUCUGAUCUGAAAUUCAAGGAUUUGAAAUGAAAUCGAUACUCGAAUUGACAGAAAAGGUUUAAUUUUGAUUGAACAGAUGGGAAAACAUUCAAGAAGCCUCGUCGUCCAUACGAGAAGGAACGUUUGGAUGCUGAGUUGAAGCUUGUGGGAGAGUACGGUCUUCGGUGCAAAAGGGAGCUUUGGAGGGUACAGUACGCUCUUAGCCGUAUCCGUAACAAUGCAAGGAAUCUUCUUACAUUGGACGAGAAGAAUCCUCGUCGGAUCUUUGAGGGUGAAGCACUUUUAAGGAGAAUGUUUCGUUACGGUCUCCUCGAUGAAACUCAGAACAAGCUCGAUUAUGUUUUGGCUCUUACUGUUGAAAACUUUCUUGAGCGCCGCCUUCAGACUCUUGUCUUCAAAUCUGGAAUGGCUAAGUCUAUUCAUCAUGCUAGGGUUCUUAUUAGGCAAAGGCACAUUAGGUACCUCACUUUAUUAUUACUAUUAUUAUUAUUCAAUUUAGUUAUGAAUUAUGCAUUCACUGUUGAGAAUAUUCCUAAUCUUCCAAUGAAAUUACUAAAUGUUGUUGUGUAAUGUAGAUGAUGUUUAGAUCAUUGGAUGUUUCUAACAAUUUUAGAUUUGCUUCUUGCUAUUCUCUAUGCUUUCCGUGUCUUGUGCCUUUUGAAUUGUGUUUUGGUGUAUUUAAUUUACAUUGGUGCUAGUUUAACCUUGUUUUCCAUUUACACUAAAAUAGGUUAUUUGAAACCUAUUAGGAUAUAUAAGGUUGGGUUAGUGGCUGGGAUGGGUGAGCUAAUGAGUGGUGUGAUAAGGAGAUUAAUGGUUUGAUUCCCAACCUCAGCGUAAUUCUAACAAUUACUAACAUAUCAUUGGCUGUUUCAAAAAAAAUACUGUAGAAAAAGGGGUUGAACUAGCUAAAGUCUUUAAUUUAUUUGAAAAUAAUGUUCAAUUCUAUUAGUUCAUACCCACUAAGUAUCAUUGGAUGUUUCCAAUAAAAAAACUGGAAACAGGGGUGAAACUAGCAAAAGUAUUUAAUGUAUUUGAUAAUAAUGUUCAAUGAUCUUUUUGUUCUACCAAGGCUUUGCUUGGUCUCUUUAGUUUAAUUCAUGUUUUGUGACUACAGCCUCAUACUUGCUUAUAACUUGUACCUUUGAUGAUCUGAUACCUAUAGCUAAUGUAUUUUCGACUCCUCUUUGGCGACUUCCCCUUUUUCCUUGCUGCUAUUGGGGUACUAAAUAUAUUCUAUGUUGUUCACUGAUUGUUAUGUUAUUCUAUGUUGUUACUCUGGAUGAAGCCUUGUUUUAUAUAUUUUGAUAUGCUUGUGAGUUUCCCUAGUUUAUUUAUUUAUUAUUAUCAGUGGAAUAUAUUUGUAAUUGAUUAUAAUGUUAUUUUGUGGUUGACACAGGGUUGGAAGGCAGGUGGUCAACAUCCCAUCGUUCAUGGUGAGAGUUGAUUCACAGAAGCACAUUGACUUCUCACUCACAAGUCCUCUUGGUGGUGGUCGUCCUGGUCGCGUGAAGCGAAGGAACCUCAAGGCUGCUGCUAAGAAGGCUGCUGGUGGUGAUGGAGAUGAGGAGGAUGAAGAUUAGAUUAUGAAUUUCUUUUGUUUAGAUCCUUCUACCAACCUUUUUAUCUGUCGUAGAUUUUUUUUGUCUAUCAUAUGCAUGACUCGUGUAAUUUUUCUAUCCUUGUUUCUCGUGUGAGGAAUUAUAUCCUGAGAUAUGUUGUUUUUUAAACUUUCCUUUUCCCAAAUAUGAAGUUUUGCCGCAAUA
Molecule: long non-coding RNA, 12906 nt
Filed under: Cicer arietinum (chickpea)
Lineage: Eukaryota; Viridiplantae; Streptophyta; Magnoliopsida; Fabales; Fabaceae
Description: long non-coding RNA (CARI_LNC002224)
Source: RNAcentral